GGAUUGCAGGCUGCAACCCGCCUGCAUGAAGCCGGAAUCGCUAGUAAUCGCGGAUCAGAAUGCCGCGGUGAAUACGUUCCCGGGUCUUGUACACACCGCCCGUCACACCAUGGGAGUCGAUAACGCCCGAAGUCAGUGACCUAGCCGAGAGGGAGGAGCUGCCGAAGGCGGGAUGGAUAACUGGGGUGAAGUCGUAACAAGGUACC
RNAcentral lists this ribosomal RNA (206 nucleotides) under uncultured bacterium. RNAcentral describes it as "partial 16S ribosomal RNA". It matches the Rfam family "Bacterial small subunit ribosomal RNA", at positions 1295 to 1500 of the family's 1533-position model. The record is from RNAcentral.